CGAAGACAUGGUUCUACCCAGCUAAGUACAGAUUUAUAAUAGUGUGAUAAGAGUUUCGGGCUGGCAAAGCUUGCAACCAUCUUUCUUCUGACACAGUACUAUAAUCCAGUGUACUGAAUAUCACAUCAAUGGGAAAUACCAAAGGUUGAGAAACACCGUGCACAGAACGCACAAUCUGUGUCAUUAUUCAUGCAUCCACAUAC
Non-coding RNA from Pelobates cultripes (western spadefoot toad), 203 nucleotides. The record is from the annotation of a GenBank genome assembly. Lineage: Eukaryota; Metazoa; Chordata; Amphibia; Anura; Pelobatidae.